Molecule: ribosomal RNA, 505 nt
Filed under: uncultured bacterium
Lineage: Bacteria
Description: partial 16S ribosomal RNA
Rfam family: Bacterial small subunit ribosomal RNA
Source: RNAcentral
AGUGAACGCUGGCGGUAGGCCUAACACAUGCAAGUCGAACGGCAGCACAGGAGAGCUUGCUCUCUGGGUGGCGAGUGGCGGACGGGUGAGGAAUACAUCGGAAUCUACUCUGUCGUGGGGGAUAACGUAGGGAAACUUACGCUAAUACCGCAUACGACCUACGGGUGAAAGCAGGGGACCUUCGGGCCUUGCGCGAUUGAAUGAGCCGAUGUCGGAUUAGCUAGUGGCGGGGUAAGGGCCCACCAAGGCGACGAUCCGUAGCUGGUCUGAGAGGAUGAUCAGCCACACUGGAACUGAGACACGGUCCAGACUCCUACGGGAGGCAGCAGUGGGGAAUAUUGGACAAUGGGCGCAAGCCUGAUCCAGCCAUACCGCGUGGGUGAAGAAGGCCUUCGGGUUGUAAAGCCCUUUUGUUGGGAAAGAAAUCCAGCUGGCUAAUACCCGGUUGGGAUGACGGUACCCAAAGAAUAAGCACCGGCUAACUUCGUGCCAGCAGCCGCCGUAA